GCCAGACUCCUACGGGAGGCAGCAGUGGGGGAUAUUGCACAAUGGGGGAAACCCUGAUGCAGCGACGCCGCGUGAGUGAAGAAGUAUUUCGGUAUGUAAAGCUCUAUCAGCAGGGAAGAAGAAAGACGGUACCUGAGUAAGAAGCCCCGGCUAACUACGUGCCAGCAGCCGCGGUAAUACGUAGGGGGCAAGCGUUAUCCGGAUUUACUGGGUGUAAAGGGAGCGUAGACGGUAUGGCAAGUCUGAAGUGAAAGCCCCGGGCUCAACCUGGGAACUGCUUUGGAAACUGUUAAACUAGAGUGCUGGAGAGGCAGGCGGAAUUCCUAGUGUAGCGGUGAAAUGCGUAGAUAUUAGGAGGAACACCAGUGGCGAAGGCGGCCUGCUGGACAGUAACUGACGUUGAGGCUCGAAAGCGUGGGGAGCAAACAGGAUUAGAUACCCGGGUAUCU
This 449-nucleotide ribosomal RNA is filed under the name uncultured bacterium. Its description in RNAcentral is "bacterial SSU rRNA". It matches the Rfam family "Bacterial small subunit ribosomal RNA", at positions 330 to 795 of the family's 1533-position model. The record is from RNAcentral.